ACAGCAGCAGCCACGGUAAUACGGAGGAUCCAAGCGUUAUCCGGAAUCAUUGGGUUUAAAGGGUCCGUAGGCGGUCUUGUAAGUCAGUGGUGAAAGCCCAUCGCUCAACGGUGGAACGGCCAUUGAUACUGCAGGACUUGAAUUAUUGGGAAGUAACUAGAAUAUGUAGUGUAGCGGUGAAAUGCUUAGAGAUUACAUGGAAUACCAAUUGCGAAGGCAGGUUACUACCAAUUGAUUGACGCUGAUGGACGAAAGCGUGGGUAGCGAACAGGAUUAGAUACCCCUGUAGUCCCUGUCUCUUAUAC
This 305-nucleotide ribosomal RNA is filed under the name uncultured bacterium. RNAcentral describes it as "partial 16S ribosomal RNA". It matches the Rfam family "Bacterial small subunit ribosomal RNA", at positions 506 to 807 of the family's 1533-position model. The record is from RNAcentral.